This 120-nucleotide microRNA precursor is filed under the name Mus pahari (shrew mouse). RNAcentral's name for it is "microRNA 546 (MGP_PahariEiJ_G0007787.1)". The record is from RNAcentral. Lineage: Eukaryota; Metazoa; Chordata; Mammalia; Rodentia; Muridae.
CCUCUCUUCCCAAAACUUAACAGGACCUGCUGUGGUGGCACGGAGUCAGCUAGGUGUUGUAUCUUGCUAUCCCUGUGCUAGUUCCAUGUUUUAGGAGCAAGUGAUGCUGGGGAGGAGAGG